GUGGAUUAGAUACCCUGGUAGUCCACGCCCUAAACGAUGUCAACUAGUUGUCGGGGAAGCAAUUCCUUGGUAACGCAGCUAACGCGUGAAGUUGACCGCCUGGGGAGUACGGUCGCAAGAUUAAAACUCAAAGGAAUUGACGGGGACCCGCACAAGCGGUGGAUGAUGUGGAUUAAUUCGAUGCAACGCGAAAAACCUUACCUACCCUUGACAUGUCCAGAAUCCUGCUGAAAGGCGGGAGUGCCCGAAAGGGAAUUGGAACACAGGUGCUGCACGGUUGUCGCCAACU
Molecule: ribosomal RNA, 289 nt
Filed under: uncultured bacterium
Lineage: Bacteria
Description: partial 16S ribosomal RNA
Rfam family: Bacterial small subunit ribosomal RNA
Source: RNAcentral